CUGAAUAGACGGGCCUC
Molecule: transfer RNA, 17 nt
Filed under: Anolis cybotes (large-headed anole)
Lineage: Eukaryota; Metazoa; Chordata; Lepidosauria; Squamata; Anolidae
Description: partial tRNA-Asx
Source: RNAcentral